RNAcentral lists this long non-coding RNA (717 nucleotides) under Homo sapiens (human). RNAcentral describes it as "non-protein coding lnc-CLDN6-4:4". Lineage: Eukaryota; Metazoa; Chordata; Mammalia; Primates; Hominidae. The record is from RNAcentral.
GGAAACCACACGCUCAGGGCAGACAGCUCUUGGGGACUCUGCCGUUAGCCCCUUCCUUACAAACACAUCACCUCAUCCCUCGGGGCACUUGAUAGCAGACAAGAAGUUCCAGAAAGGCUUACAUUUACUAAAAGUUUAUUUCAAAUCUGCCUCCAAGUCCAUGUGUUCUGAAAAGGACAGAGGGGGCCUUGGAGUGCAGCCAGAUGGAAGGACUUUGAAGGCUGUCCAAGUGCUGCUUUCAGAGUGCACCAAGUUUUUAUUGUCCCUGACUGUGGCUCCCUGCCUGUUUGUCAGGCGGGAGCCUGGAGCCUGCACAGGGACAGAGCUGGUUUCAUCCGGCACUCCCUAGCCCUGGACACCCUCCUUGUCUCGCCUGCCCUCCUGCAGGCCUUCACUCUCCCCUGAGGCUGUCCUGGCCCGGACUGUGGGGAGCACCUCCACCCCCCGGAGCAGGUGCACACCCAGGGAUGCCCUGGACCUAAGUGACAUCAACUCAGAGCCUCCUCGGGGCUCCUUCCCCUCCUUUGAGCCUCGGAACCUCCUCAGCCUGUUUGAGGACACCCUAGACCCAACCUGAGCCCCAGACUCUGCCUCUGCACUUUUAACCUUUUAUCCUGUGUCUCUCCCGUCGCCCUUGAAAGCUGGGGCCCCUCGGGAACUCCCAUGGUCUUCUCUGCCUGGCCGUGUCUAAUAAAAAGUAUUUGAACCUUGGGAGCA